GACGAACGCUGGCGGCGUGCUUAACACAUGCAAGUCGAACGGUAAGGCCCCUUCGGGGGUACACGAGUGGCGAACGGGUGAGUAACACGUGAGCAACCUGCCCUUGACUCUGGAAUAACAGUUGGAAACAGCUGCUAAUACUGGAUAUUCAUCGUCUCCUUCCUGGGGGGGGUGGGAAACCUCCGGCGGUCGGGGUUGGGCUCGCGGCCUAUCGGCUUGUUGGUGAGGUAAUGGCUCACCAAGGCUUCGACGGGUAGCCGGCCUGAGAGGGCGACCGGCCACACUGGGACUGAGAUACGGCCCAGACUCCUACGGGAGGCAGCAGUGGGGAAUAUUGCACAAUGGGCGCAAGCCUGAUGCAGCAACGCCGCGUGCGGGAUGACGGCCUUCGGGUUGUAAACCGCUUUCAGUAGGGACGAAGGGUGACUGACGGUACCUACAGAAGAAGGACCGGCUAACUACGUG
RNAcentral lists this ribosomal RNA (465 nucleotides) under uncultured bacterium. RNAcentral describes it as "partial 16S ribosomal RNA". It matches the Rfam family "Bacterial small subunit ribosomal RNA", at positions 28 to 507 of the family's 1533-position model. The record is from RNAcentral.